RNAcentral lists this unclassified non-coding RNA (209 nucleotides) under Hevea brasiliensis (rubber tree). The record is from RNAcentral. Lineage: Eukaryota; Viridiplantae; Streptophyta; Magnoliopsida; Malpighiales; Euphorbiaceae.
AGGUGUGUACCUAUUGUGGAAAACUAAGGCAUACAGUAUAUACAUGCUAUAAGAAGCAUGGAUUUCCUCCUGGAUACAAAUUUAAGAAUUUUGGUUCUUCUGCUAAUCAAGUUACUGUUGAAGGUCAGUCAUCUGAAAAUACAAAUAAUACACCAAUCCAAGUUAAUUCACCAAGUAUUCAAAGUGUGCCUUUUACUCAAGAGCAGAUU